CAACCUCCCCAUCCACCAAAGACUCACCAAGUGCUGUUGGAGCAACUUACGCCACCCUGCCAUCACCCCACGCUUUGCCAGUCCUCUGCCAAAAAGCCAUUCAAAUGGCAGGAACAAGAGAAGGAGAGAGUGACUGGGAGCCUAGCCAAACCAGAGUUGAUCAUCUUGAAAAAAGUGAUUUAAUAUUCAUGAAGCUUUUAAAAACAGUUCUUAGCACUUAGUAUGUGUGAAAUAAAUAAAGAAAUACACAAAUCAAUCAGCUCCCGAAUGACAAGCACAGGCGAGGCAGGACACUGGUCAUACGUGGCUGGCCUGUCUGGAGCUGCCUGGGUGCUGAUGCCCUGGGCAUCUGGCCGGCACCUUCUACCAGGGCUGGUGAAAUGUCCCUCCGGAGGAGCAGCAGCUCUUUAGGCCAUUUUAAGGGCUCCCUGCACAGGACGCACCAAGGCAUCCUCAGCCAAGUGCCCACGGUCGUGCCAGCUCGGGUCAAAGGCUGCUGUCACAUCGGGGCUUCUGACUGCACCAUUGUGUCUCGACAAUGGCCAUCGGACCAGGUAUUGGGGAUGCGAAGGUGGGGCUGGGAGAGCCUACUUGAUCAUUCUCCUCCUUGGGUGAACCAGGUGUGACUCAGAUCAAAGGGGUUGUAGAAUUACUUCAAGUUUAAAUGGAGCCAGCCCCUCAACCCCUUCCUCCCUGUGCAGGUGACUCACUAGGAGGGAACCUUGUUUAGCUGCUUCUUCCUCCCUUAAGAUGCAGGCCUCAGCCUUGGCCACUUAAGAACCACCUGUGGGCUGGGUGCAGUGGCUCACACCUGUAAUCCCAGCACUUUGGGAGACUAAGGCUUGCGGAUCACCUGAGGUCAGGAGUUUGAGACCAGACUGACCAACAUGGUGAAACCCUGUCUCUACUAAAAAUACAGAAAUUAGCCAGGCGUGGUGGUGCACGCCUGUGAUCCCAGCUACUUGGGAGGCUGAGGCAGGAAAAUCACUUGAACCUGGGAGGCAGAGGUUGCAGUGAGCCAAGAUUUCACCUCUGCCCUCCAGACUGGGCAAUAGAGCAAGACCCCAUCUCAAAAAAAAAAAAAAAAAAGAUCCACCUGGGGCUGGAGAGGCGUGAGUCCCAGAUUGCACCCAGGCCAACUGGAGUGCCCAGGUGAUGUCAGUGUGUACCCACGGCUGACAACUGACACUCCGCAAAGGAUGGCUGAGUCCUGUAGUAUGAAUGACAACAGACAGGCCCAUCCCCCCGGGGGCAAAGGAGUAGACAGGACCAGGGAAAGCCACAGGCUGGACGAUGCAACACUAAAGCCAAGAGUGAACUGUAGCACAAAGGUAUCAUAGCAUGCAGGGCGGAGGAUCCCAAGAAAGCAUCCAAGAUUUCAAAUUUUCUGAACACUGAGAAAGCGCUGAGGAAAUUGGGCCUGACAAGCACCAAAGACUCUGUUGAAACACAGGACACUGGCAGCUUCAGGCAGCGCCUCUAUAAUAGAGCAGUCACUGGGAUGUGCUGGUGUUUAGGUCUGGUGGGGGCAGCUCUCCACAGGUCUCUCACAUUUUUGCACAUCUUGCAGACAGAGGAGCUGAUGGCCCUUUCUCUGGACCAUCCUCUCAAGGGUGCUUCUACAGCAAGCGCCUUGGAAGACGGGGACAUGGUCUCCCCUGGAGCAGAGAGCAGGUGUGAUUACUGCCCAUGACAAAACGCUUGGGUCUCGGAAGCCCAGGCUUCCUCUCCCACAGUGCAGCCCGCUGAGUGGACAGGCAUCUGUUCAGGCCCAACUGUGCUGCCCCUGCUGGCUAGGGGACGAGGGAAUUGAUGUAAACAUGCUGAAGCUCCCGCUGCCUGCUGGCCUCCCAUCCUGGAGUGCCCUCUUUUCUGCCAGCACCCAUGAAAAUGUUGAGGGCUAACACACAUGCAACCUCAAACCUCAGUCUGCUUUCAGUUCUUGACAAAGAUAAGUGUCUACAACUAAAUUUGAUAUGACAUAUUAGUGAGUUUUAAACCACUAUUAAUUCUGCACAUAUAACACCUGGAUAUCAAGCAACUUUGAUUUGAAAAAGAAAAUUAAGUUGGACGUUCUUAUUCUUGAUUGAAUAAGACGUUUGCGCUAUUGCCUAAGUCUGCAGUGGCACACCACAGAGGUCCGUGAGUCUGCAGGAUUGGUGAGCGGGCCUCUGGGUGUUGGGAGGGAAUGAAUGUCCUCGAGAAGUUUCUGACCUUCCUACCUUUUCCAGAAGGGGAGAGGCUCUCUGGCUGUGGGGUCACCCCUGCCGUCGUUACUGUGGAGGGUGGCGCUGGCCUUUGGUGAACCAGGGCAGGGUCUCCUAGAGAGAGGAUAACCACAUGGCACUUAUGAUCCUGAGCCUGGAACCUGGGCUGGCUUCAGAACGGGAUACAAAUAAAAUAUAUCAACACAUGAACUUACAGUGGAGGCCUCUGGCUUCCUCAGACAGGUUAAAAGCAUAAGAAACAAUGUUUCCCCACCCGAAUGCAAAGAUAGACUGCAAACUAUUUUUCUUGCAUUUCCAAAAAGACUGCACAAGUUAAAUAUCAAAUUUAUUUUGGCUGAGAUUAUAUUAAUGAUAUCAAUUCAAUUUUAUAAUGCUGGUUAUUCUUGGGAGAAUAAAUGAUCACUCAAUAGAUUCUAUUUUGUUUGUUUGAGACAGGGUCUUGCUCCGUUGCCCAGGUUGGAGUGCAGUAGUGUGAUCACAACUCACUGCAGCCUUGACCUCCCGGGCUCAAGAGAUCCUCCUGCCUCAGUCUCCUGAGUAGCUGGGACUACAUGUACGUGCCUCAAUGCCCAGUUUUAGGACUCGAGAAGACAUCUGGCCUCUUCUGUCUCCUGCAUUGACACCGCCUGUGUUCAGGAUUUCAUCACCACCCACCAGAACGAUUUCAAAAACCUCAAUGCAGCUCCUAUUCUCUGGAGUCUCCUGACUACAGUUCAUUCUUCACACUCUGAACAAGAGCAACCUUUCCACCAUGCAGCUCCAGUAAUGCUCCCCUGCACAGAAACCCUCAGGGACUCCCCACUGCACAGAAGGGAAUCAUGCCUUUCCAAGAAGAAGCAUUCAAAUCACAUCAACUAUGUCCAAUGAGCAACACUGAUAUGACUCCCACGAUAUAUACUGAGGAGUUUCAUAUAUAUUUAUUCAUUUAGAUACAUAUUAUUAUUACUGUUAUUAUUUUUAUUGUUAUUUUUGAGACAGAGUCUCGCUUUGUCGCCCAGGCUGGAAUGCAGUGGACAAGUGUUUGUGAGUUGGACAAGCUUUCGUAAAGUCAUGAAAACAUUGCCAGACAAGAUCAGCUAUAAUUAAAGAUGAAUUAGAAAAAACUCCAAAAUUCUGGAUCUUAAUUGUGCUAUUUCUUUUGUAAUUUUAUUUAUUUACUUUUCUUAUUACAAAACAAUUCAAAUUAUGGCAGAAAAAUAAGAAAGGGCAGACAACUGCAUACAUGCCCACAUAUGACCAACACAUGACAUCUUCCCCAUUCAAUGACAACUACUUCUUGAUCUUCUUCUAGUAAAAAAAUGAAUCAUAUGAUGUCUACUACUUGAAAACAACUCCAUUUUAUUUACUCAGUCCUCCGCUGUUUAAAAUUUAUGUUGAUUUUGACAAAUCUCAUGUUUUAUACACUCACGUUUUCACCACUUUUUUGCUAUCAGUAGAGGCAAAGAAGCAGUAACAACUAGAUAAAAUGGAUAGGAAAUAAAAAAUAAAAGGUUUGGGAAAAGACCCCUAAAGUUCUGAAAAAUGGCUUAAAAAUACUUAAAGACACAUGAAAAGUUGUGAAAACAACCCCAAGUGCACUUACACCUUACAUAAAAAAAGCGAACUGAAAUUGGUGGCUAGGGAUAUUUGUCUUCAAACAAAGCAGUCUUCUCAGUUGCUUCUGGCCAUCGCCCGCAAUCUUUCAGACUGAAAUGCUCUCUAAGAAGUCAGUGACCUUCUACCCAACAUAAUGGACGCCCCUGCACAUCAGGCCUUUUAAAUAAGAACAGACUGGCAACAACUUGUUGUGCAUAGUAGCACAAGAAGGAGACUUUGCACCUUAGUGAUAUUGAUUUGUCCAACCCAUGAACAUGGUAUAUCUCUCCAUUGAUUUUGUUCCUUAAUUUCUCUAAGCAAUGCUUUGUAGUUUUCCAUAUAUGAAAGAUGUCUUUCACAUCUUUUGUUAGAUUUAUCCGUAAGUAUCUAAUGCUUUUUAAUGUUAUUUCAAAUGACUUUUUAAAGUUUUUUAAUUUCUAAUUGUUCAUUGUGAAUGUAUAGAAAUAGAACUGAUUUUUGUGUAGUGGUGUUUUGUAUACUGCAACCAACUUAGACACAUAUGGCUGACUGAUGUUCAAAAGGUAUAAGAGAAGGUCAGUGAAGAUAAUCUUUUCAAUAAAGGGUGCUGGAAUAAUUGGAUAUGCAUAUAUAGAAACAAACAAAAUCCCAAAACAACCUUUAAUUCAUGCCUCACAUUAUAAACAAAAAUUAAUUCAAAAUGGAUCACAGCCAUAAAUGUAAACCCUAAAGCUAUAAAACUUCUAGAGGAACACAUAGAAGUAAACCUUUGUAACCUUAGGCUAGGCAAAUAUUUCUUAGAUAUGACACCAAAAGCCCAAAACACAACAUAACAAAUUAAUAAAUUAGACUUCAUAAAAAUUAAAAACUUCUGCUUUUCAAAAGACACUGCUAAGAGAAAGGAUAAGCCACAGAAUCUGAGAAAAUAUUUGCAAAUCAUAUACCUGAUUAGGGCCUCGUAUCCAGAAUAUAUAAAGAACUCUCAAAAUUCAGUAAUGAUACAAUUCAAUUUUUUAUACAUAAGACAGAGUCAGAAA
Molecule: long non-coding RNA, 4819 nt
Filed under: Homo sapiens (human)
Lineage: Eukaryota; Metazoa; Chordata; Mammalia; Primates; Hominidae
Description: HSALNT0158292
Source: RNAcentral